This 253-nucleotide ribosomal RNA is filed under the name uncultured bacterium. RNAcentral describes it as "partial 16S ribosomal RNA". It matches the Rfam family "Bacterial small subunit ribosomal RNA", at positions 524 to 776 of the family's 1533-position model. The record is from RNAcentral.
UACGAAGGGGGGCUAGCGUUGCCUCGGAAUCACUGGGCGUAAAGGGCGCGUAGGCGGACUCUUAAGUCGGGGGUGAAAGCCCAGGGCUCAACCCUGGAAUUGCCUUCGAUACUGAGAGUCUUGAGUUCGGAAGAGGUUGGUGGAACUGCGAGUGUAGAGGUGAAAUCGUAGAUAUUGGGAAGAACACCGGUGGCGAAGGCGGCGACCUGGUCCUUGACUGACGCUGAGGCGCGAAGCGUGGGGAGCAAACAGG